GCGGAGCGAGCGCGGGUGAAGCGGCGGCGGGGCGCCGUAGCUGGGAGGGCGCGCGUGGGGAGAGAGGGAAGGGAGAGAAUGAGAGAUAGGGUUAGGGGGUUGGUGGGCCGGCUGGGUUUUUUUUUUCAAUUUCUUCCCUGAGUGCCAUGUUUUUAACUCUUGGAGAAGGCUAUUUUCCCUAGUGUCACAAAAGGCACUCAGGGAAGAAUUCUUUUUUUUUUAAUUUUUUUUGCUCUAUUUUUUUCUGAGGCCUUCCCAUGUUAUUUGAAACUUUUUGUUCAAAUUUGGAAUAAUUUUAACUUUUUUUGUUAUAUUUUGUUAGUUUUUUCAUUUUGUUGAAUUUCUUUUGCAUAUUUCAAAUUUGAACUACAAGUGUAUGAAAUAAUAAAAUUCCUCGUCACCACCUCCAUCGUCCUCAACACCUAGUUCGCGCCGAGCCCUCCAUCGCUCAAGCAUCAUUAGGUCCUUAGCAUCUUGCACCACUUCACCCUCAUCCUCAUCGAUGUUGUUGUCUACUUCCAUGCCCAUUAGUGAAAGAAUGUCUAUCUCCAAACGCCCUUCUAGCCCCUCAGGUUGAUAGAACUCUCCGCUAUCUGCCUUCGGGUCGAAGUUGUAAUCAUCAUCGUUUGGGACAGGCGCUUUACCACGUGGCGAUACCAAUUGCACAAGGUACCAUCCCUUAAGCCUCUCGUCUUUUUGGCAUGCCCAUGGAAGAUAAUAAACUUGUGUGGUCUAUUGAGCCACAAUAUAGACAUCAUCUCCACUAUAGAUAGAAUCCUGUCGAAUUUCAAGUUGUCCAAUGUCUUCGGCUCUUCUCGUGACAUUAGGAUCGAACCAAUGGCAUUUUUUGACUUUUUUGCUAUAUUUCAUUAAUUAAUUUCUUUAAAUUGAUUUUUCCACUCAAUAAUCCUACUUUGAACUAUAGGUGAAUGAAAUAGUAAAACUUAUCUAUUUGAAAAAUAAUAUUCAUGUUAAAUAAUAUAUUGUUAGACCAUAUCUAAAAAUUGACCUAAAUAUUUGAAGUCCUUGUCCACGGAACAUGAUCAUCCAAGUGUGGUAGAAGUGAUUUUUAAUUAUAUAAAAUUCAAAUAAAAUAAAAAAAAUUACAAAACUUAUUGAGGUGUCAUGUUAUCACAUGAGGAGCGUAUGAUAAAAUUUUGAAAAAAAUUGGAGCAAGUUAUGAUGUUAGAUGUAUA
This 1196-nucleotide long non-coding RNA is filed under the name Sorghum bicolor (sorghum). RNAcentral describes it as "long non-coding RNA (SBIC_LNC009199)". The record is from RNAcentral. Lineage: Eukaryota; Viridiplantae; Streptophyta; Magnoliopsida; Poales; Poaceae.